GAAAAAUGUAAAAUUGAAGAAUACUCUUAUAAAGUAUGGACCAUAACGUUUUUGCUUACUCUUUCUCUCCCUUUCUCCUCUGAUGUUCUUCCGAGGUGGCAAUCUGCACCACCACCACCGGAUCAAUGCACCAAGCAGCCCCCCGACAUGAUGGAAUGGAGAAAGAAAGAUGCACCGCCGCUAUGACUCUGCCUGACUCACUAACCACACAUCGCCAGUUCCGCCCUUCCUCUGUCAAUUCCUGAUGAUGUCAGCUAUCCCAACAUCCAUCUUGGCUCCUUCCCAGCAUACCUCUCUGUCUACUUCCAGUCUCUCUUCAUAAAUAUUCCCCACUCCGCCAUUU
Polypterus senegalus (gray bichir) is the source of this 343-nucleotide long non-coding RNA. RefSeq lists it as uncharacterized. NCBI's taxonomy places the organism in Eukaryota, Metazoa, Chordata, Cladistia, Polypteriformes, Polypteridae. The transcript has 3 exons. The record is from RefSeq and is a predicted model, not a curated record.